CAUCACGCAUGCGCGAUAGUUCGUGAGCAGACGAACCACUGAAAGAGACUUGCGCAGUCUAGUUGCAUCCAGCCAAAUACUAGUAGAACCCGAAACAUUGUUUUGACAAGUUCUGUCAUGUUGGGUUUGCAGGUUUUCACAAAAGACCAAGGUGUUGCAGCUUUUAUUCCGUGUUUUUCUUGCUAUCAACAGUACAGGCUGACCAACGACAGUUUUAGCUACAAAUAUUUGACGCCUCGUCUUGCAACUAGCUGUUGAUAUUCUAGGUUUUUUAAAUUUAAAAUUGGAAUCAACUGUCUGAGAUGUCGUUACCCCUGGCAGACGGGAGGCGCUAACGUCUGCUAACGUCAAAAUUGUCUAUUUCCCCCCGUCAGCUAAGGAGUACAAAGUACCUAUAUUAUAGUCUUUCUUUUCCUCUUAGUGUCACCUUAGUUAGACUUGUAGUUACUUGUCUCAUCAUUCUGGAUUUACGCAACGACGACAUUUGGUGUUGCACGUUUCUUCGCUGUUUUAUUGUCCUUUGUAUAGAGCGUAAGUUCUUCUAAUAGACCAACAUAUCUGCGAGCAAGGAUCUGCUUAGGGACAGUGAGACAUCAGCGAAUACAACAACGGAACCAUAUCCAAAUUGUAGCACAAAACUUGUACAGCUGUGAUACCUCCCAAACACCUAUGCAGUUUGGAAUGCUUGUCAGGUGAAUGCAGAUUAAUGUAAAAGAUGUCAAAUGUUAGACAUGUGGAAAAGGCCUGAUAGGAUGUGUGGGCGCCUUUGGUAACAUAGAUUGGAACUUAUGAUUUUUCAUGUUGGCUACACCAAGGCAGUAAUAACUGUGCUGCAAACAAUCUGCAAAACAUGCUUGUCUGUCCAUCUCAGUGAUGAGAUGGCAAAUUUGUUGAGUAAAUCUGACUAAGGAAGAAAAUCUGAGAAGUGUUCCUAAAAGUAACUUGUCCCAGUGUGAUUUUCAUAGCAAUCCAUCAUUUGUUCCAAAGAUUUUUUUAUGAAGCUACAACAUAGAAGGUCUUGACCCAGUAAGCAUCAUACAGGGAGCUCCUAUGUAUGAAAGGAACUUUCUUCAGUAUUGAUACUGGGAUAAAUGACUUUGUUCUCAUCAACUUUCAGUUUAAAGAAACCAUUAACUCCUCAAAGACCACAAGUACACCUGUUACCACCACCCGGUUCCAAAUCGAUGAUUGCUUGGAUUCUAGAAAAAAACAAUGCUCGGUAAAGUAAAUUUUACAGUUGCCAACCACAAUAGUUCCGCACUGUAAUAAAAUCUCGGUCAGUGACUCGGUGUCGCCAACGUGAUACAAAGUUAUUCAACUCUUUACAUCAAACCUGUUGAGAAGGAUGCCCCAGGCUGGACACUAUUACUCCAAUUGAAAAUGAAUGGACACAGUUCAUUUAUAGCACUCAUGCAAGAUGCAACCACCAUUUAGACAUCUUAAAAACGUAUUUUAGGAUAUGCAAACUAUGGCACUUAAUUUUUAUAUAAUACUUCGCAAGUUUGUCGCAUGUGAAAAAGAAUAAAAAUGGAAUGUGAUGCCUAGGUAGCAUAAUGAGGUCAGAAGAUUGCCCAACAUCUAUGGAAAAAUGACUUGAUUGAUGAACCAGCUAUAUUUAGCAGGUUGGCUUUAUUGGAGAACUGUUAAACAUUUGAUAUUCAUAAUGUUCGCAAGGCUUUUAAGAAAAUAGUUUUCAUUGCACUGGCGACAAUUCGGAAUGGCGAGGUGCGAAUGAAUCGGAUUAAAAGUCAGCGUGGAAAUGCAAUAGUUCCGCAGCUGGCAAGAAAUGAGAGGACGAUUGGUGAUGAGACAAUUUAUUCUAAUCGCUGUAACUCAUGGACACGUCGACAUUCGUGGUAAUCAAACUUAGAACGUCUGCAAUGCGAAAUUUUUCACCAAUAUAAAGGAAAGCUGCAAACAUAUUUUCAGCAUUUUUAAUAAAAAAAUAAGCGCGUUCAUUCCCUUCAACCAAUUGUCAACGCGAGGCCCCGUAGGAACCUUCCAUACGUCACUUUUAUUGUAGCUGACAGUGACUGUAAUUAUGGCUUACUUAGCCCAUGCUUAUCCAGAGCUGCCUUGUUGAUCCCCGCCCUAAAAACUAUCAUCUUCAAAAGCUUCCAGGUUUGUUGUGGUCGUAGAACAGCAGACGACGAAGUUCAAAGCGGCAUUGUACCAUCGGGCAGAAUCCAAACGGUUGAUGCAUUGAAAAUGUCGGAGCUCUGUUGAUGAAUUUUCACCAGCACUCUUCCACAAGACGCGCGCGAAGCAAACGAUAGCAAAGGAGAUAGGGACUUGAAUUGGUUGUUUACCACCCGUGGCUUUCCCGCAUCCCAGGAUUAGUCUUGUACACCUUUUGCACUUGUACAGAGCGUUCGGGAACGAAAUUAGUUGUGGAUGGGUUUGCUGUUGACAAGCAAGGGAAGGAUUUUUACUACCAAACUAGAUAGGAAUGAAAUUUGUUGUGGCUGGUUUGUUUGUUGACAAGCAAGGGAAGGAUUUUUUUACCAAAGUAGACAGGAUAUUUAUUCUUAAUCCCACAAUGUCUUGGUAAUAAAUCACUACAAAUCAUGCUGAAUUAGAAUAGUAUGUUGAUCGAGGCUGGGUGCCAAAGCAAUGGAUGAUAAUUGAUUGGACUCUAAUCACUGCUGAGAUGGCCACUGAUGUGCAGUUCUUGUACUGCGAAUUCCCGGAUUGCCUUUGAAUGAUUGCCGAUGACAUCUCAAUUCUGUAGUUGGUAGAUAUCUGUUGAACAUAGUUGAAACUCA
Molecule: long non-coding RNA, 2765 nt
Organism: Daphnia magna
Lineage: Eukaryota; Metazoa; Arthropoda; Branchiopoda; Diplostraca; Daphniidae
Exons: 14
Source: RefSeq, a predicted model, not a curated record